UUGAAAGAAUGUGUGUUUUACAUGUUGAGUGUAAUUUCAGACCCUUGCCGUCGAUUUCAUGUGCAAACAAGCUAGGUCUGCACAAUUUAUUGAAUGUACAUUGGAAUUGCGUUGAGUGUACAAAACAUAUACAUUGAGUGUACAAAACAUUAGGAACACUCUUUUUUUUUUGCUUUCAGAACAGCCUCAAUUCAUCAGGGCGUGGACUCUACAAGUUCCACAAGGCUGACUCCAAUGCUUCCCACAGUUGUCAUGUUGGCUGCAUGUCCCUUGGUUGGUGGACCAUUCUUGAUACACACGGGAAACUGUUGAGAACGGAAAACCCCCCGCAGCAUUCUUGACACAUUCAAACCAGUGCACCUUGCACCUACUACCAUACCCCGUUCAAAGGCACUUCAAUCUUUUGUUUUGCCCAUUCACCCUCUGAAUGGCACACACACACAAUCCAUGUCUCAAUUGUCUCAAGGCUUAAAAAUCCUAUAUAUAUGCAAAUUGAUACUUGGGGUCAAAGUAUCGAAAUAUUGUUGAAAACAGCUUUUGUUUUGCUUCUCAAGCUUUCAACAUGCUCCUUAAAAUUCUCUAACCAUGAGUGAUUACUGUGUGUGUGUUUGAACAGAAAUACCAUCCAGUUUACACCAACUCAGAUUGAAGCCAUCCAUGCUGGGAUGCAGCCUGAACCCACUAUGGUAAACUAUGGAUGGAUGUGGUAUAUGUUGUGUUCUGGUAUGGGCGUGUGAAUGACGUACUGGCCAGGAGGCUGGAGCUGCUCAGAGAGGUGGGCAGUCUGCAAGAGAGUCUGGACCUACACCUGUGAGACCGACAGACACUUCUACCUCUAUCAGGUGAUGUCUCACUGGGAAGAGUACAUUUCCAAGGUCAGGUCUAAGCAGGGUGAAGGCCGAAGCCAUGGCCACACACUUCCCCUUCCACAAGUACUUCUCCAACGCCCCCAGCCCCAUGAUGAAGACAUCAUAGGACUUCGCUGAGGGUUGCUACCAACACAUCAAGAAGAGAUUUACCCAGCUGGAGGCAGGCCACACACACACACACACACACACACACACACACAUCACAUGUUUACCUAGCUAAAGGGA
Non-coding RNA from Oncorhynchus mykiss (rainbow trout), 1094 nucleotides. The record is from RefSeq and is a predicted model, not a curated record. NCBI's taxonomy places the organism in Eukaryota, Metazoa, Chordata, Actinopteri, Salmoniformes, Salmonidae.